AUGGGUUUGCUGGAGAAAAUGCUCAACUUGCUACUACUCAGUGUAUUGGUAUCAGAUGGUGAAAUUAUUCUCACUCAGUCUUCAGCAUCCAUGACCACAUCAGGAGGGGUGAAGGUCACUAUCACCUGCAGUGCCAGCUCAAGUGCAAGUUCCAGUUACUUCCAGCAGAAGCCAGGAGACUGCCCUAUGCUCCUGUUUUUUGGAACCUCCAACUUGGCUUUCAGAGUCCCAGCUCUGUUCACUGGCAGUGGAUCAGGGACAUCAUACUCUCUCAUAAUCAGCAGCAUGGAGGCUGAAGAUGUUGACACUUACUACUGUCAACAGAAGAGCAGUGUCCCAUUUACACAGUUCUACAAAUCAAAACAAAAACUACCUUGGCGUUCUCAGAUACCACUGCUUCCUUCUUAG
Onychomys torridus (southern grasshopper mouse) is the source of this 408-nucleotide non-coding RNA. The record is from the annotation of a RefSeq genome assembly. NCBI's taxonomy places the organism in Eukaryota, Metazoa, Chordata, Mammalia, Rodentia, Cricetidae.